AUAAUGUUGAUGAGAAAAAAAGUAGAUUCCUGGUUGGGGCCACUGUCUGUGUAAAGUCUGCAUGUCCUCUUUACAUUUAUCUGGGUGUUUUCCAGGUACUCUGAUUUCCUCCCACAUCCCAAAGAUGUGCACAUUCAGUGAACCAGUGUUUCCACAUAGUCCCAGUCUGGGGAAUACUGGGAUUAUUAUGAGAAAUUAUCGAAAUCCAGAAUAUUCAGGCCGGAAGUUGCCAGCAUCUACUGCAGUGACCUUGAUCCUGUCCAUGAAUGAAGUAGAAUGAGACCCGUAUUUGGGAGCAAUGAAAGGAAACACAAGAUGUUCCCAAUUAUUUCAACUUUCCAUGCUACCUACCUCACUCAUUUGCCUUCAUUUUGAAGUCAUGAGUUGAAGCUGUUUGGAAAAUAUUGUGGAGAGGAAAGAGUGACUUCUAGCUACAAAGAUGGAAAACAUUGCCGGGACCCAGGAGAGAUGUGUAUUAAGCAAAGUUUAACUUCAAGCCCCCAGUCUUUCUCUACUGAACAUUUUCUUGCCUCAAUAACCUCUGGCCCCUCCUUUCAGGCUUCAGCAGUAUUUGUGCUCAUUCUUUGGUCCUCCCUGCCACCCUGACCCCAUUUUUUGUUAUCAAAUUAUAUAUUCUGGUUUACCAAGAAAUUGGAGGGAUUCACAUAGACAAAAGUCUGUUUUACUUAUGAAAGCAGUAUUUUAUUCAAAAUAUCGAACAAAGGUUGAAAAUAAAGGUGUUAUUCCCAGUCUCAUGUCAGAGACUCACCAGUCCCAAACCCAGCUGGACCUGCUCUGGAUUACGGCAACGUCAUUAUCAAGGUUAUGACUGUCUUUGGCGCAAGUCUUCACAGUGGGAUCCGUGAGCUCACGGCAGAAGGUAAGUCUGGAGUUCUCCUACAUAUGAUGCAUAUCUAGGAGAUAUGAAUGGGCUGCAUAGAGCCCCUCUGCAGUUGACUGAAAAUAAAAUGUAAAGUUAAUGCAAUUCCUCACCUUAGACUUCAUUCCUAAGACUAUAUGGAAAGACAUAAGAACUGAUUUUUGGUGUUGCCAUCAGCAGCGGAGGGUGCUGCAUUAGGGGGUUGUGGAAGGAAAAUUCUCAUGCACUUCUCUUACAAGUUCUAGAUACUCAGCAAAUAAAUGUGUGUAUUCUUUCUGGAAAUGUGUGGUGUCCUUGCUGGGGCUGGGAUUGAACCUGAUGCUGAAGCAGGGUGUCCAAGUUUACUCUGAGAUGAUCUGAAAGGAGGAUGUGAAAAAGAGUGGUGGGAAAGAAAUUGUUGCAGGGUGGUAGCGUGUCUUAGACUGUUUGGGAUGCCAUAACAAACAGCAGUUGAUGGACUGGGCGGCUAUAAGGGAUAUAAACAGCAUGCAUGUUCAUUGAUGGCAAGCAGGAUAUGUCUUUGUUGUUUUUCUCCUAGGUGCUUGUCUAACAUGCUACACAUAUUUUACUGCCAUUUAUCUACCUUAUUGUCCAUGUCUCUACUGGAAUAUUUUCCCAUUGCCUACACUAGUGCUUGGCACAUAGUAUGUGCCUGAUUGAAAAAUUUGAGUCCCCCCCACAAUAAUAAUGGGAGACUUUAACACCCCACUGUCAACAUUAGACAGAUCAACAAGACAGAAAGUUAACAAGGGUAUCCAGGAAUUGAACUCAGCUCUGCACCAAGCAGACCUAAUAGACAUCAACAGAACUCUCCACCCCAAAUCAACAGCAUAUACCUUCUCAGCACCACAUUGCACUUAUUCCAAAACUGACCAAAUAGUUGGAAGUAAAGCACUCCUCAGCAAAUGUAAAAGAACAGAAAUUAUAACAAACUGUCUCUCAGACCACAGUGCAAUCAAACUAGAACUCAGGAUUAAGAAACUCACUAAAACUGCUCAACUAUGUGGAAAUUGAAC
This 1896-nucleotide long non-coding RNA is filed under the name Homo sapiens (human). RNAcentral describes it as "HSALNT0190771". The record is from RNAcentral. Lineage: Eukaryota; Metazoa; Chordata; Mammalia; Primates; Hominidae.